GAUGAACGCUGGCGGCGUGCCUAAUACAUGCAAGUCGAGCGAACGGACGAGAAGCUUGCUUCUCUGAUGUUAGCGGCGGACGGGUGAGUAACACGUGGAUAACCUACCUAUAAGACUGGGAUAACUUCGGGAAACCGGAGCUAAUACCGGAUAAUAUUUUGAACCGCAUGGUUCAAAAGUGAAAGACGGUCUUGCUGUCACUUAUAGAUGGAUCCGCGCUGCAUUAGCUAGUUGGUAAGGUAACGGCUUACCAAGGCAACGAUGCAUAGCCGACCUGAGAGGGUGAUCGGCCACACUGGAACUGAGACGCGGUCCAGACUCCUACGGGAGGCAGCAGCAGGGAAUCUUCCGCAAUGGGCGAAAGCCUGACGGAGCAACGCCGCGUGAGUGAUGAAGGUCUUCGGAUCGUAAAACUCUGUUAUUAGGGAAGAACAUAUGUGUAAGUAACUGUGCACAUCUUGACGGUACCUAAUCAGAAAGCCACGGCUAACUACGUG
RNAcentral lists this ribosomal RNA (497 nucleotides) under uncultured bacterium. RNAcentral's name for it is "partial 16S ribosomal RNA". It matches the Rfam family "Bacterial small subunit ribosomal RNA", at positions 28 to 507 of the family's 1533-position model. The record is from RNAcentral.